AUGGUAUGAUCAAAAUAGGUUAGAGAUGAUUGCCAAACCAAUUGAAUUUUGAUCUUCUCUGGUCUAACAUUUGGAGAGAAUAUUCUUUAGAUUGCUCAUAGCCACAUGAAGUCAUCUGACCUCUAUAGAAAAACCUAUGUGAAGACUACCGCAGAUCAAGGGCUUGGAGGUGCUAGCCUGCAAGCAACUUCGACGGCUGAUCUCUUCUUUUUUCUUCAAGCAUCUUAGACACUCCAAAGUAAGAUAGAUUUGUAGGAGGAAGAGAUGAGGAGGAAAAAAGCUCUAAAAAAAAUAAAAACCAGCAAGGGAGGGAUGUUAUGAUGCCAAGAAGAG
RNAcentral lists this long non-coding RNA (333 nucleotides) under Elaeis guineensis (African oil palm). Its description in RNAcentral is "long non-coding RNA (EGUI_LNC033541)". The record is from RNAcentral. Lineage: Eukaryota; Viridiplantae; Streptophyta; Magnoliopsida; Arecales; Arecaceae.